Molecule: ribosomal RNA, 2082 nt
Filed under: Salmonella enterica subsp. enterica serovar Montevideo
Lineage: Bacteria; Pseudomonadati; Pseudomonadota; Gammaproteobacteria; Enterobacterales; Enterobacteriaceae
Description: partial 23S ribosomal RNA
Rfam family: Bacterial large subunit ribosomal RNA
Source: RNAcentral
UAGGUAGCGCCUCGUGAAUUCAUCUCCGGGGGUAGAGCACUGUUUCGGCUAGGGGGCCAUCCCGGCUUACCAACCCGAUGCAAACUGCGAAUACCGGAGAAUGUUAUCACGGGAGACACACGGCGGGUGCUAACGUCCGUCGUGAAGAGGGAAACAACCCAGACCGCCAGCUAAGGUCCCAAAGUCAUGGUUAAGUGGGAAACGAUGUGGGAAGGCCCAGACAGCCAGGAUGUUGGCUUAGAAGCAGCCAUCAUUUAAAGAAAGCGUAAUAGCUCACUGGUCGAGUCGGCCUGCGCGGAAGAUGUAACGGGGCUAAACCAUGCACCGAAGCUGCGGCAGCGACGCUGAUGCGUUGUUGGGUAGGGGAGCGUUCUGUAAGCCUGCGAAGGUGGCCUGUGAGGGUUGCUGGAGGUAUCAGAAGUGCGAAUGCUGACAUAAGUAACGAUAAAGCGGGUGAAAAGCCCGCUCGCCGGAAGACCAAGGGUUCCUGUCCAACGUUAAUCGGGGCAGGGUGAGUCGACCCCUAAGGCGAGGCCGAAAGGCGUAGUCGAUGGGAAACGGGUUAAUAUUCCCGUACUUGGUGUUACUGCGAAGGGGGGACGGAGAAGGCUAUGUUGGCCGGGCGACGGUUGUCCCGGUUUAAGCGUGUAGGUGUGUGUUCCAGGUAAAUCCGGUUCACUUUAACACUGAGGCGUGAUGACGAGGCACUACGGUGCUGAAGCAACAAAUGCCCUGCUUCCAGGAAAAGCCUCUAAGCAUCAGGUAACAUCAAAUCGUACCCCAAACCGACACAGGUGGUCAGGUAGAGAAUACCAAGGCGCUUGAGAGAACUCGGGUGAAGGAACUAGGCAAAAUGGUGCCGUAACUUCGGGAGAAGGCACGCUGACACGUAGGUGAAGUGAUUUACUCAUGGAGCUGAAGUCAGUCGAAGAUACCAGCUGGCUGCAACUGUUUAUUAAAAACACAGCACUGUGCAAACACGAAAGUGGACGUAUACGGUGUGACGCCUGCCCGGUGCCGGAAGGUUAAUUGAUGGGGUCAGCGCAAGCGAAGCUCCUGAUCGAAGCCCCGGUAAACGGCGGCCGUAACUAUAACGGUCCUAAGGUAGCGAAAUUCCUUGUCGGGUAAGUUCCGACCUGCACGAAUGGCGUAAUGAUGGCCAGGCUGUCUCCACCCGAGACUCAGUGAAAUUGAACUCGCUGUGAAGAUGCAGUGUACCCGCGGCAAGACGGAAAGACCCCGUGAACCUUUACUAUAGCUUGACACUGAACAUUGAGCCUUGAUGUGUAGGAUAGGUGGGAGGCUUUGAAGUGUGGACGCCAGUCUGCAUGGAGCCGACCUUGAAAUACCACCCUUUAAUGUUUGAUGUUCUAACGUGGACCCGUGAUCCGGGUUGCGGACAGUGUCUGGUGGGUAGUUUGACUGGGGCGGUCUCCUCCUAAAGAGUAACGGAGGAGCACGAAGGUUGGCUAAUCCUGGUCGGACAUCAGGAGGUUAGUGCAAUGGCAUAAGCCAGCUUGACUGCGAGCGUGACGGCGCGAGCAGGUGCGAAAGCAGGUCAUAGUGAUCCGGUGGUUCUGAAUGGAAGGGCCAUCGCUCAACGGAUAAAAGGUACUCCGGGGAUAACAGGCUGAUACCGCCCAAGAGUUCAUAUCGACGGCGGUGUUUGGCACCUCGAUGUCGGCUCAUCACAUCCUGGGGCUGAAGUAGGUCCCAAGGGUAUGGCUGUUCGCCAUUUAAAGUGGUACGCGAGCUGGGUUUAGAACGUCGUGAGACAGUUCGGUCCCUAUCUGCCGUGGGCGCUGGAGAACUGAGGGGGGCUGCUCCUAGUACGAGAGGACCGGAGUGGACGCAUCACUGGUGUUCGGGUUGUCAUGCCAAUGGCACUGCCCGGUAGCUAAAUGCGGAAGAGAUAAGUGCUGAAAGCAUCUAAGCACGAAACUUGCCCCGAGAUGAGUUCUCCCUGAGACUUUAGGUCUCCUGAAGGAACGUUGAAGACGACGACGUUGAUAGGCCGGGUGUGUAAGCGCAGCGAUGCGUUGAGCUAACCGGUACUAAUGAACCGUGAGGCUUAACCUUACA